RNAcentral lists this ribosomal RNA (2519 nucleotides) under Escherichia coli. RNAcentral describes it as "partial 23S ribosomal RNA". It matches the Rfam family "Bacterial large subunit ribosomal RNA", at positions 418 to 2915 of the family's 2925-position model. Lineage: Bacteria; Pseudomonadati; Pseudomonadota; Gammaproteobacteria; Enterobacterales; Enterobacteriaceae. The record is from RNAcentral.
CGGGACACGUGGUAUCCUGUCUGAAUAUGGGGGGACCAUCCUCCAAGGCUAAAUACUCCUGACUGACCGAUAGUGAACCAGUACCGUGAGGGAAAGGCGAAAAGAACCCCGGCGAGGGGAGUGAAAAAGAACCUGAAACCGUGUACGUACAAGCAGUGGGAGCACAGAGCAAUCUGUGUGACUGCGUACCUUUUGUAUAAUGGGUCAGCGACUUAUAUUCUGUAGCAAGGUUAACCGAAUAGGGGAGCCGAAGGGAAACCGAGUCUUAACUGGGCGUUAAGUUGCAGGGUAUAGACCCGAAACCCGGUGAUCUAGCCAUGGGCAGGUUGAAGGUUGGGUAACACUAACUGGAGGACCGAACCGACUAAUGUUGAAAAAUUAGCGGAUGACUUGUGGCUGGGGGUGAAAGGCCAAUCAAACCGGGAGAUAGCUGGUUCUCCCCGAAAGCUAUUUAGGUAGCGCCUCGUGAAUUCAUCUCCGGGGGUAGAGCACUGUUUCGGCAAGGGGGUCAUCCCGACUUACCAACCCGAUGCAAACUGCGAAUACCGGAGAAUGUUAUCACGGGAGACACACGGCGGGUGCUAACGUCCGUCGUGAAGAGGGAAACAACCCAGACCGCCAGCUAAGGUCCCAAAGUCAUGGUUAAGUGGGAAACGAUGUGGGAAGGCCCAGACAGCCAGGAUGUUGGCUUAGAAGCAGCCAUCAUUUAAAGAAAGCGUAAUAGCUCACUGGUCGAGUCGGCCUGCGCGGAAGAUGUAACGGGGCUAAACCAUGCACCGAAGCUGCGGCAGCGACACUAUGUGUUGUUGGGUAGGGGAGCGUUCUGUAAGCCUGUGAAGGUGUGCUGUGAGGCAUGCUGGAGGUAUCAGAAGUGCGAAUGCUGACAUAAGUAACGAUAAAGCGGGUGAAAAGCCCGCUCGCCGGAAGACCAAGGGUUCCUGUCCAACGUUAAUCGGGGCAGGGUGAGUCGACCCCUAAGGCGAGGCCGAAAGGCGUAGUCGAUGGGAAACAGGUUAAUAUUCCUGUACUUGGUGUUACUGCGAAGGGGGGACGGAGAAGGCUAUGUUGGCCGGGCGACGGUUGUCCCGGUUUAAGCGUGUAGGCUGGUUUUCCAGGCAAAUCCGGAAAAUCAAGGCUGAGGCGUGAUGACGAGGCACUACGGUGCUGAAGCAACAAAUGCCCUGCUUCCAGGAAAAGCCUCUAAGCAUCAGGUAACAUCAAAUCGUACCCCAAACCGACACAGGUGGUCAGGUAGAGAAUACCAAGGCGCUUGAGAGAACUCGGGUGAAGGAACUAGGCAAAAUGGUGCCGUAACUUCGGGAGAAGGCACGCUGAUAUGUAGGUGAAGCGACUUGCUCGUGGAGCUGAAAUCAGUCGAAGAUACCAGCUGGCUGCAACUGUUUAUUAAAAACACAGCACUGUGCAAACACGAAAGUGGACGUAUACGGUGUGACGCCUGCCCGGUGCCGGAAGGUUAAUUGAUGGGGUUAGCGCAAGCGAAGCUCUUGAUCGAAGCCCCGGUAAACGGCGGCCGUAACUAUAACGGUCCUAAGGUAGCGAAAUUCCUUGUCGGGUAAGUUCCGACCUGCACGAAUGGCGUAAUGAUGGCCAGGCUGUCUCCACCCGAGACUCAGUGAAAUUGAACUCGCUGUGAAGAUGCAGUGUACCCGCGGCAAGACGGAAAGACCCCGUGAACCUUUACUAUAGCUUGACACUGAACAUUGAGCCUUGAUGUGUAGGAUAGGUGGGAGGCUUGGAAGUGUGGACGCCAGUCUGCAUGGAGCCGACCUUGAAAUACCACCCUUUAAUGUUUGAUGUUCUAACGUUGACCCGUAAUCCGGGUUGCGGACAGUGUCUGGUGGGUAGUUUGACUGGGGCGGUCUCCUCCUAAAGAGUAACGGAGGAGCACGAAGGUUGGCUAAUCCUGGUCGGACAUCAGGAGGUUAGUGCAAUGGCAUAAGCCAGCUUGACUGCGAGCGUGACGGCGCGAGCAGGUGCGAAAGCAGGUCAUAGUGAUCCGGUGGUUCUGAAUGGAAGGGCCAUCGCUCAACGGAUAAAAGGUACUCCGGGGAUAACAGGCUGAUACCGCCCAAGAGUUCAUAUCGACGGCGGUGUUUGGCACCUCGAUGUCGGCUCAUCACAUCCUGGGGCUGAAGUAGGUCCCAAGGGUAUGGCUGUUCGCCAUUUAAAGUGGUACGCGAGCUGGGUUUAGAACGUCGUGAGACAGUUCGGUCCCUAUCUGCCGUGGGCGCUGGAGAACUGAGGGGGGCUGCUCCUAGUACGAGAGGACCGGAGUGGACGCAUCACUGGUGUUCGGGUUGUCAUGCCAAUGGCACUGCCCGGUAGCUAAAUGCGGAAGAGAUAAGUGCUGAAAGCAUCUAAGCACGAAACUUGCCCCGAGAUGAGUUCUCCCUGACUCCUUGAGAGUCCUGAAGGAACGUUGAAGACGACGACGUUGAUAGGCCGGGUGUGUAAGCGCAGCGAUGCGUUGAGCUAACCGGUACUAAUGAACCGUGAGG